AUCAAAAACAGCACCGCAAUUCAUCUGCACAACUCGUAGCUUUGCGAGACUCCAAAAACAAGGUGAUAGUAUCAUGCAUAACCGAUCCCCGUUAUCCACAAUCAGAGUUUCUAGAUUGCAGAGAUUUGAAAAUGACGGAGGGAGAACUUUUGCCUUCAUCCGAAUUUUUAAGUGCUUCAAAUGAACGAGCAUACCGAUUUCAUUCAGCAAAGAAUCUGGCAAUGUUAUGCCGCACAAAUCCAAACUUUUGAGAAGCCUCAAGUGUUUUAGGCUACUUUUUCUGUGAAGAGUUACAUCAUCGACCUUCAGAGAGAGGAGGUGUUUAACAUAAGGAUUCUUCAUUUCUGGAUCAAAUGGAGCAAAACAUUCAUCGAAAUCAAAGAGAUCUGUAUCACCACGAAUGAUAAUUCCACGUGGCAUAAGA
Molecule: unclassified non-coding RNA, 424 nt
Filed under: Hevea brasiliensis (rubber tree)
Lineage: Eukaryota; Viridiplantae; Streptophyta; Magnoliopsida; Malpighiales; Euphorbiaceae
Source: RNAcentral